UACAGAGGUCUCAAGCGUUGUUCGGAUUCAUUGGGCGUAAAGGGUGCGUAGGCGGCGCGGUAAGUCGGGUGUGAAAUCUCGGAGCUUAACUCCGAAACUGCAUUCGAUACUGCCGUGCUUGAGGACUGGAGAGGAGACUGGAAUUUACGGUGUAGCGGUGAAAUGCGUAGAUAUCGGGAGGAACACCUAUGGCGAAGGCAGCUCGCUGGGACGUUACUGACGCUGAGACGCGAAAGCGUGGGGAGCAAACAGG
RNAcentral lists this ribosomal RNA (253 nucleotides) under uncultured bacterium. Its description in RNAcentral is "partial 16S ribosomal RNA". It matches the Rfam family "Bacterial small subunit ribosomal RNA", at positions 524 to 776 of the family's 1533-position model. The record is from RNAcentral.